MicroRNA precursor from Oryza sativa Japonica Group (Japanese rice), 203 nucleotides. It matches the Rfam family "MIR812 microRNA precursor family". The record is from Rfam. Lineage: Eukaryota; Viridiplantae; Streptophyta; Magnoliopsida; Poales; Poaceae.
AAAAACUCAAUUCCUGAGUUUCCAUGUCUAACAUUUGACCGUUCAUCUUAUUUAAAAAAAUUAUGAAAAAAUUUAAAAAGAUAAGUCAUGCAUAAAGUAUUAUUCAUGUUUUAUCAUCUAACAAUAAUAAAAAUACUAAUAAAAAUUUUUCAUAUAAGAUAGACAGUCAAACGUUGAACACAAAAACAACCGAAGAAUUCGGU